RNAcentral lists this long non-coding RNA (394 nucleotides) under Gallus gallus (chicken). The record is from RNAcentral. Lineage: Eukaryota; Metazoa; Chordata; Aves; Galliformes; Phasianidae.
CUGAAGUGGAAAUUGCCAUUCGGUAUUUCUGGCUGCCCGCACGACUUUCCGAUGCAGAAGUCGGGGUCCGACGCCCAGGUGGAGUUGGGCAGGCAGGUGACGCUGGGGAGCUUGUUCCUAUCUCCCGUGUACCCCGGGCGGCAGCGGUACCGCAGCACCGCCCCAACGGGGUACGAAGAGUUGGUGGGGCCGGGGGGCUCCGCAAAAGAGAACCUCGGCGGCUGCGGGCAGUCACCGCACACUCCGGGCAGCGCCAGCAGCGCAGCGCUGAGCCACAGCAGCGCCGUACCCACGGCCAUCUCCGGACGCUCCGGCGGUUGUGCGCGGUGCUGCGAGCAGCCCAGCGGUACGGCUCGGCUCUGCACGGCUCUCCUCCGCACGACCUUUUCCGGAG